This 595-nucleotide ribosomal RNA is filed under the name Talaromyces flavus. RNAcentral's name for it is "eukaryotic LSU rRNA". The stretch from base 204 to 357 matches the Rfam family "5.8S ribosomal RNA". The record is from RNAcentral. Lineage: Eukaryota; Fungi; Ascomycota; Eurotiomycetes; Eurotiales; Trichocomaceae.
CCUUCGGUAAAGGACCUCGGAAGGAUCAUACCGAGUGAGGGCCCUGCGGCCCAACCUCCCACCCUGUUCCAACACCUGUGUUCGCGGGGGCCACCGGGGCCACCCGUUCGCCGGGGGACAUCCUGUCCCCGGGCCCGCGCCCGCCGAGGCGCUCUGUGAACCCUGAUGAAGAUGGGCUGUCUGAGUGAUAUGAAAAUUGUCAAAACUUUCAACAAUGGAUCUCUUGGUUCCGGCAUCGAUGAAGAACGCAGCGAAAUGCGAUAAGUAAUGUGAAUUGCAGAAUUCCGUGAAUCAUCGAAUCUUUGAACGCACAUUGCGCCCCCUGGCAUUCCGGGGGGCAUGCCUGUCCGAGCGUCAUUUCUGCCCUCAAGCACGGCUUGUGUGUUGGGUGUGGUCCCCCUGGGGACCUGCCCGAAAGGCAGCGGCGACGUCCGUCUGGUCCUCGAGCGUAUGGGGCUCUGUCACUCGCUCGGGAAGGACCUGCGGGGGUUGGUCACCACCACAUCUUUUUACAGGGUUGACCUCGGAUCAGGUAGGAGUUACCCGCUGAACUUAGCAUAUCAAUAGGUGGAGGAACGUGCCGGGCCCCCUCCUU